RNAcentral lists this ribosomal RNA (323 nucleotides) under uncultured Pseudomonadota bacterium. RNAcentral's name for it is "bacterial SSU rRNA". It matches the Rfam family "Bacterial small subunit ribosomal RNA", at positions 30 to 351 of the family's 1533-position model. The record is from RNAcentral. Lineage: Bacteria; Pseudomonadati; Pseudomonadota.
AUUGAACGCUGGCGGCAUGCCUUACACAUGCAAGUCGAACGGCAGCACGGGAGCAAUCCUGGUGGCGAGUGGCGAACGGGUGAGUAAUAUAUCGGAACGUGCCCAGUCGUGGGGGAUAACGCAGCGAAAGCUGUGCUAAUACCGCAUACGAUCUCUGGAUGAAAGCGGGGGAUUCGCAAGGACCUCGCGCGAUUGGAGUGGCCGAUAUCAGAUUAGCUAGUUGGCGGGGUAAAGGCCCACCAAGGCGACGAUCGGUAGCUGGUCUGAGAGGACGAUCAGCCACACUGGAACUGAGACACGGUCCAGACUCCUACGGGUGGCAG